This is a non-coding RNA of Candoia aspera, 1434 nucleotides long. NCBI's taxonomy places the organism in Eukaryota, Metazoa, Chordata, Lepidosauria, Squamata, Candoiidae. The record is from the annotation of a RefSeq genome assembly.
UUCCCCUACAGCUACUUCCAAGGCCCCAGCUGUGUUCCCGCUGUCUCCUUGUGGCCAAGACAUCUCCACCGCCUCCCUAGUUAGCAUGGCUUGUCUUAUCAAAGGUUACUUUCCCGAACCAGCCACGGUGCAGUGGAACUCAGGAGCCAUCACCAGCGGAAUCCACGACUUCCCUUCCGUUUUGCAUUCGUCCAGCCACUAUACCCACAGCAGCCUGCUCACCGUCCCCGUCAGCCAGUGGAAAUCAGGGUCAUUCCAGUGCAACGUUGACCAUGCAGCCACCCACUCCAAAAUCAACAAAAACAUUGAACGCUAUGCAGCCCUUGAACCAGUGGCCCCCAAGGUCUACCUGCUCCAUUCCUCAUGCAACGAGAUAGAUGGCCUCAUAUACCUGGUGUGCAUUGUUCAAGGUUUCUUUCCCUCAAAAAUUGUUGUUGAAUGGCUGGUGGGCAGCCACCAUGGAUUGCUGGCUCCACACACCGAACUUCCCAAGCGAGAUGUAAAUGGGCACACUUUCAGUACCACCAGCAAGGUCAACAUUUCCAAAGAAGCUUGGCUGGAAGGGAAUGUUUACUACUGCCAAGUAACCCAUGAGGCGUCACAAACCAAGAUGAAAAACAGAGCCAAGAAAUGUGAAGAUGACAGCACUCACUCCUGCACUGGGGCUAACACCUACCUCCUGCCCCCACGUCCAAAGGACUUGUACAUAAACAAAAAUGCCAAGCUCUCCUGUGUGACUGUCAGCCUGCAGAAGGAAGAGGGGUUGAAAGUAACCUGGUCACGUGAGAAGCAAGAAGCCAUGCAUCCUGAAUUAGUGGAGGUGACAGAAGAAAUGAAUGGAACCUUCACUGCUGUCAGCCGCCUCCCCGUCUCCACCCAAGACUGGGAAUCAGGAGACGCUUUCACCUGUUCAGUGGAAUAUCCAGGUUUGACUGGUCCCAUCGUUAAGACGAUUUCCAAGAUCAGAGAAAACAGCAAGGAACCCAUCAUCCACAUCUACCGUCCCAUUGAAGCGGCACAGAACCCUCGCAAUUCAGUUCUGAUCACCUGCUUAAUGAGGUGCUUCUACCCAGAGGUGAUUGAUGUCCAGUGGCAAAAGAAUGGCAAUGCCAUUUCAGAAGAUGACUAUGUCAACACCCCACCUGUGAAGGACAAGGGAGACGAUGGCUUCAUUUUGUUUAGCAAAUUGGCUAUCCAAGCAGAAGAAUGGAAUGAAGGGAAUGACUUCAGCUGUGUGGUUGUCCAUGGGGGCCCUGGAAUGAAGGUCACCCAGAGGAGCAUAGAGAAAUCUUCGGGUAAACGUUGAAGACUCCCAUCAACGUGCAGGGUCUUCCUAGAUUUGUCUCUCCCAUUGUCAGAUCCAAUCCUUGUAAAUAAUUUCCAGGCUUAUGUGUUUGGCUCCUGCCUAAAUAAAAGCAAACCAACUCAGAGGUA